This 468-nucleotide ribosomal RNA is filed under the name uncultured bacterium. Its description in RNAcentral is "partial 16S ribosomal RNA". It matches the Rfam family "Bacterial small subunit ribosomal RNA", at positions 28 to 507 of the family's 1533-position model. The record is from RNAcentral.
GACGAACGCUGGCGGCGUGCUUAACACAUGCAAGUCGAACGGAAAGGCCCUGCUUUUGUGGGGUGCUCGAGUGGCGAACGGGUGAGUAACACGUGAGUAACCUGCCCUUGACUUUGGGAUAACUUCAGGAAACUGGGGCUAAUACCGGAUAGGAGCUCCUGCUGCAUGGUGGGGGUUGGAAAGUUUCGGCGGUUGGGGAUGGACUCGCGGCUUAGCAGCUUGUUGGUGGAGUAGUGGCUUACCAAGGCUUUGACGGGUAGCCGGCCUGAGAGGGUGACCGGCCACAUUGGGACUGAGAUACGGCCCAGACGCCUACGGGAGGCAGCAGUGGGGAAUAUUGCACAAUGGGCGGAAGCCUGAUGCAGCAACGCCGGGUGCGGGAUGACGGCCUUCGGGUGGUAAACCGCUUUCGCCUGUGACGAAGCGUGAGUGACGGUAAUGGGUAAAGAAGCACCGGCUAACUACGUG